This 427-nucleotide ribosomal RNA is filed under the name uncultured bacterium. Its description in RNAcentral is "partial 16S ribosomal RNA". It matches the Rfam family "Bacterial small subunit ribosomal RNA", at positions 355 to 774 of the family's 1533-position model. The record is from RNAcentral.
UGGGGAAUAUUGCACAAUGGGCGCAAGCCUGAUGCAGCCAUGCCGCGUGUAUGAAGAAGGCCUUCGGGUUGUAAAGUACUUUCAGCGGGGAUGAAGGGAGUAAAGUUAAUACCUUUGCUCAUUGACGUUACCCGCAGAAGAAGCACCGGCUAACUCCGUGCCAGCAGCCGCGGUAAUACGGAGGGUGCAAGCGUUAAUAGGAAUUACUGGGCGUAAAGCGCACGCAGGCGGUUUGUUAAGUCAGAUGUGAAAUCCCCGGGCUCAACCUGGGAACUGCAUCUGAUACUGGCAAGCUUGAGUCUCGUAGAGGGGGGUAGAAUUCCAGGUGUAGCGGUGAAAUGCGUAGAGAUCUGGAGGAAUACCGGUGGCGAAGGCGGCCCCCUGGACGAAGACUGACGCUCAGGUGCGAAAGCGUGGGGAGCAAACA